This 300-nucleotide long non-coding RNA is filed under the name Physcomitrium patens. RNAcentral's name for it is "long non-coding RNA (PPAT_LNC014080)". Lineage: Eukaryota; Viridiplantae; Streptophyta; Bryopsida; Funariales; Funariaceae. The record is from RNAcentral.
GAUAAUAUAAUGUUAAAACUAGAAUAGCUAUUGCUAAAAAUAAAAAUAUUGAAAAGUCUUAAAAUAACAUAAAGAAUAAGAAAAACAUUAUCAAGAGUGAAGAAGACUUCAUUCUUAUCCCUCAUAAAUUAUUUAACUACAAAUUAUGAUGCAAUAUUAUUUAGGAUCUCUAGUAAGUGUCCAACUCGCAAGAAAUGUAUAUAACUUGUAACACAAGUUUCCAAAAUAUUCACUAAGUUGCAUAUAAGUAUCAAAAAUUACUAAUAUGUGCAAUACAUGAUAAACUUAUUGAUUAAGUUU